CAGUCGCCACGGUAAUACGUAGGGUGCGAGCGUUAAUCGGAAUUACUGGGCGUAAAGCGUGCGCAGGCGGUUCGUUAAGACAGAUGUGAAAUCCCCGGGCUUAACCUGGGAACUGCAUUUGUGACUGGCGAGCUAGAGUAUGGCAGAGGGGGGUAGAAUUCCACGUGUAGCAGUGAAAUGCGUAGAGAUGUGGAGGAAUACCGAUGGCGAAGGCAGCCCCCUGGGCCAAUACUGACGCUCAUGCACGAAAGCGUGGGGAGCAAACAGGAUUAGAUACCCCGGUAGUCCCUGUCUCUUAUAC
This 301-nucleotide ribosomal RNA is filed under the name uncultured bacterium. Its description in RNAcentral is "partial 16S ribosomal RNA". It matches the Rfam family "Bacterial small subunit ribosomal RNA", at positions 509 to 807 of the family's 1533-position model. The record is from RNAcentral.